RNAcentral lists this ribosomal RNA (430 nucleotides) under uncultured bacterium. RNAcentral's name for it is "bacterial SSU rRNA". It matches the Rfam family "Bacterial small subunit ribosomal RNA", at positions 355 to 776 of the family's 1533-position model. The record is from RNAcentral.
UCGAGAAUCUUUCGCAAUGGGGGAAACCCUGACGACGCGACGCCGCGUGGAGGAUGAAGGUCUUCGGAUUGUAAACUCCUGUCAGCAGGGGAGAACAAGCUGUCUAUUAACAAUGGACAGCUUUGACAGUACCUGCAGAGGAAGCCACGGCUAACUCUGUGCCAGCAGCCGCGGUAAUACAGAGGUGGCAAGCGUUGUUCGGAUUUAUUGGGCGUAAAGGGUCCGUAGGCGGCCUUGAAAGUCGGAUGUGAAAUCCCACAGCUCAACUGUGGAACUGCAUUCGAAACUUCUAGGCUCGAGUGUGAUAGGGGUAAAGGGAAUUCCCGGUGUAAGGGUGAAAUCUGCAGAGAUCGGGAGGAACACCAGUCGCGAAGGCGCUUUACUGGAUCACUACUGACGCUGAGGGACGAAAGCCAGGGGAGCAAACGGG